RNAcentral lists this long non-coding RNA (4868 nucleotides) under Solanum lycopersicum (tomato). Its description in RNAcentral is "long non-coding RNA (SLYC_LNC000693)". Lineage: Eukaryota; Viridiplantae; Streptophyta; Magnoliopsida; Solanales; Solanaceae. The record is from RNAcentral.
UUAGGUUCAAAAUAUCCGAAUUUUCGCGUUAAUUCGGUGUGCCCUGGCUAUUGUGGCACAGACAUGACUGCAUAUACUGGAAGUUUAACUGCUGAAGAAGGUGCUGAAAGCUUGGUGAAACUUGCUUUGUUGCCAAAUGAUGGACCUUCUGGCCUCUUCUUUUACAGAAAGAAUGUCACCUCUUUUUAAAUAUUUAGCUAAUUCAACUAUCAAUAAUUGUACCGAUUCAGAAAUUAUAACGUUUAAAUUCUUGUCAAUUUUUUUUUCAUCGUAACAUUGUAUUGCACACAUUGAAUUCUGUGAAGAAAUGUUUGAAAUUUUAUGCUUUUAGGGAAAAUGCACAAGUAUCCCCUCGACUAUGACUAAAAUUCCAAAGACACAUCUUACUAAAGUCGUAUUAUCCCCCUGAACUUUUUUUUUUUUUUGUUAAUUUUGUGUACCUCUUUCGCUUACGUGACAUUCAAAUAUCUCUGACGCGCCUCAACUGCGUGGAGUCACAUAGACUGCCACAUAAGACAAAAGUUGUAUAAAAUUACAAAAAAAAAAGUUCAGGGGUAAUAGGACCUUAGUUUAGUUAACGUAUGUCUUUGAAAUUUUGGUCAUAGUCUAGAAGAUACUUGUACAUUUUCCUUAAUAUUUAUUAAGUUUUUUUUUCAACUAAAAGUAUAAAUAUCUAAAUAGAAAUAUUAGCCUAAUUAUUUUUAUUUUGGACUCUCUUUAUUUUUAAAUUUUAAUAUUAUAUUAUAUUUUUAAAUUAAUUUUUAUUGGCCCACGCCGAGCCAAUCAAUAUUUCUUAAGCCUCCCAAAUGAGCAAACUUAUUCAAGGCGAGCUAAAAAACCUUUUUCUUAAAUGGGCUUCAAAAAUCUUAAUUCAACCCUAUUAAAUUUUGAAUUAGGUCAGACCAGCCCAACGAACCUAGCCUAUAUCGACGGCUCUUAUAAAAACAUAUCUUUCAAACCUAUUUAGAAUUAGAAUAGCUAAAACGUGUUGCUAUUACCUGUACCACAGAAUUUUGUCAUAUUUCAAAAUAUUUCAGAACAAUGAGUUAAUAGGUGGAGAUGUCAUUGAUUACAACAUCUCAAUUAACACCAACAGUCAAGUUAAAAUUUUGUGAAUGCGUGGCUUGUAGCCAUUAUUACUCCCUCAAUUCAUUUGUAGUUGUUAUGUUGUAUUUUUCUUCUUAAUUUGGUUGAUUUUUAAAAUGAAAUUAAAUUAUAUUAAUUUAAUAUUUUUUUAAAAAUUAAAUAUUUAAAAAUAAAAUUAUGAUAAUAUAAAAUAAACAGAAAACAUGAUUUAAAAGUAGAAAUAACAGUCUUCUUGUUCAUUUUGCGUGCUUUUAAUAUUAAUUGAUGAGGCUGGGACCUGGACCUAACAUAUAUAAUACAGCUCUUCAAGAACAGGAAAAUAAUUCAAGUAUGGAACCUGCAAACAUAUGGAUUUGGCCGUUCUAAAGUUGGUAUUAAUUUUUAGUUAGAUAUCUUAAUUAAGUUUAGUUUAUUUUAGGCAUCUCAUCUCAUGUCAUUUUUUGUUGUGUCAUCUUGACACUUUUUACUGACAUGACAUAGUGAGUAUAAUACACUCAAUAGCAGUGGUGAAAGACUUAUUUAAUUAUUUUUAUUUUGUUUUAUUUUCAUUUUCUUUCACAUUAUUCAGUCACCAUCUCUCAAAACUUAAACUUCUUCAAUGGAGAAAUAGUGUUGACGAUGCUAUAGACAAAAAAAGCGAAUUUCAACAUGAAGAGAAUUCACAAAAGAUAAAUUUCAACCCGUUAAAAAGUCAUGAUUCAUGUUGUCGCAAAGAAAAAAGGACAAUGAAAAAACUUUUAAAAGACCGUGGGUGGGAAUGGGAGAGGGGUGGAGAAGACGAUAUGGGUGGGGAAGGGAUUGGGGUUAGGGUGGGCAAAGAUGUAGAAGAUGUUGGGUGGGUGGGGAACAAUAAAGAAAACGAUUUGAGUGGGUGGACGGAGAAGAUGACCUUGGUGGGCUUGGUUUUUUUCUUUGAAUUUUUUGUGUAAAAAAUUUCACAUGUCAUUAAGUCAUUAAGAUAUGAGUCUUCUUUUUAAGUUUGUUAAGAGUACAUUACAGGUCUGAUUCAUUCAGAUAUAUUUAAAUCCAUUAAGAGACUUAUAAAGAAAUAAAACAAACAAACUUAAUAAACUGAAUCUGAAUAAAUAAAAUUCAAUUCUCAAAAAUUACACUCUUUAAUAAAACAAAUUUGAAUGACUAAGAUUCACACUCGGUAAUUAUAAACACCGGAGGCCUAACACAAACAAAUGAGUAAUAGUCUAAGAGCAUAUAGUUUGAAAAAUUAUUAUACAUAUAUCUAAAAGGGAAUGUCUGACUUGUCAAAACAAAACUCUAACCAGUAGUUGAGUAACACCAACAAGUUCUACUUGGAAGACUUGGAUAUAGAAUUCAUCUAAGUGACGUAGGGUUAGGAGUUUAAAGAAAAAUAUUACAAGGUACUGUGGGUUCGAACUAACAAUAAUAAUGCGAAAAUAUUUUUACCGUCAACUUUUAUUAUUAAGUUGACAAUAAAUUUUAUUAUGAAAUUUAUAAAAUGCUUGUGAAUUUUGUCCAAACCCAUCAAUCCCUAUCUAGCUCCAUGUUUACGUGCUGAUGAAAUAUCCUUUGGAACAUCAUAUUUGACUAAUAAAUUCUACGAUUGACAUGGACAUGAGGAAUAGAGCAAAACAUAGUUAGCUGGCCUCUAUUAUUAUAUAUUAUAGGGAUAAUGCCCAAGUAUCCCUCAACGUAUGUCCGAAAUCUCAGAGACACACUUAUACUAUACUAAGGUCCUAUUACCCCUGAACUUAUUUUAUUAAUAAUUUUUUACCCCUUUUUAGUCUACGUGGCACUAUCUUGUGGGCCCAGUGAUGGUUGUCUUUUUUUUUCAAACUAGUGCCACGUAAGCUAAAAAGGGUAGAAAAUUACUUAUAAAAUAAUUUCAGGAGGUAAUAGACCUUAGUAUAGUAUAAGUGUGUCUCUGAGAUUUCGGGCAUAGGUUGAGAGCUACUUGUACAUUUUCCCUAUAUUAUAUAAUUGUAUCUUCUGCACAAAUUGUACCAAACCAAUACACUGUUAGACCAAAAGGGUAAAUAUCAAGAAUUUAGAACUAACAAUUAUCCUUUAAAAAAUGGCAGAGGAAAUCAGCACCCUCCAAAGCAAAAGGUAAUUUAAAUUAUGAGUAGCUAAUCUUUUUACUAUCAGUGUAUAUAAUUUAAAUUUUGUUACGCAUAUCUGAGCAAUACUAAUACUGGUAUAUGGUAUGAUCAGGUAUGCAGUAGUGACUGGUGGAAACAAAGGAAUAGGAUAUGAAACAUGCAAGCAAUUAGCAAGCAAAGGAUUAGUGGUAGUGUUGACAUCAAGAGAUGAAAAGAGAGGGAUUGAAGCUAUUGAAAGGCUUAAAAAGGAGUUAAACAUUACUAAUAAUAAUGAUCACAUUUUGUUUCAUCAACUUGAUGUUAUGGAUCCAGCUAGUAUUUCUUCUCUUGUGGACUUUAUCAACACAAAUUUUGGAAGGCUCGAUAUUCUGGUAAGUAAUAUUUAUCACUCCAUCACUUUCGUAUUCUUUAAAGAAAUGAGAAAUUAUGAAUACUUCAAAUUUGCAGGUUAACAACGCAGGGGUUAGUGGAUUAAUGGUGGAAGGAAAUCUUGUUAUACUAAAAAAUUUAAUUGAAGGAGAUUUCGAGACCAUUUCUACUGAAAAUCAAGUAUGAAUUUUAAUUUCUAUUAAUAAAAUUACGUUUUCAAAAGUUAUUAAAGUUGAUCGAUACCUAAAAUCGUUUAAUUAAUUAUGUAGGUUGAGGACGAAAGUGUUGUGGAGAAAUCAAUUGAAGGUAUCGUUACAAAUUAUGAGUUGACAAAACAAUGCAUAGAGACAAACUUUUAUGGUGCAAAAAGGAUGAGUGAAGCAUUUAUCCCUCUCCUUCAACUCUCUAAUUCACCAACGAUUGUUAAUGUUGCUUCUUUCUUAGGAAAAUUGAAGGUAAUUAACUAAAAUACUUUAUCUGUUUAUUUUUACUUGUCCACUGUACUAUUUUGAUAUUAUUUGUACAAUUGUAUUGAGUGAUUUUCGAUUUCCUAUGUACAGUUAUUGUGUAACGAAUGGGCUAAAAAAGUGCUAAGUGAUGCAAAAAGCCUAACAGAAGAAAGGAUAGAGCAAGUGUUAAAUGAAUUUCUCAAAGAUUUUAUAGAAAAUUCAGUUGAAUCCAAAGGAUGGCCAACUUACUUUGCAGCUUACAAAGUGUCAAAAGCAUCGUUGAUUGCCUACACAAGAGUUUUAGGUUCAAAAUAUCCGAAUUUUCGCGUUAAUUCGGUGUGCCCUGGCUAUUGUGGUACAGACAUGACUGCAUAUACUGGAAGUUUAACUGCUGAAGAAGGUGCUGAAAGCUUGGUGAAACUUGCUUUGUUGCCAAAUGAUGGACCUUCUGGCCUCUUCUUUUACAGAAAGGAUGUCACCUCGUUUUGAACAUUUGGCUAAUUCAACUUUUAAGUAAUAACUUAUUAUCAAUCAACUGCUCCAUAAGAAAUAAGUCGGGUUGGUUGUAUGAAUUAUUUGUCUAUUCAGCUAGAUUAUGUUUUAUUCUUACUUGUACUACUUUCAUUGCAAACAACAGGCCUACUAUAAGUGUCAUGUUGCUCAGACACUUCUAAAGAAAAGUUGAACUUGAGUCUGAAUCCAAAAAUAAUAGUAUGGUGCUUGUGUUUGAUACUCAAAAGAUAUGAUAUUAUUGUGCUUGUUAUGUAGUGGAGCCUGAUUUAUUUUAGGUUUUCCUAUUUAUUCUCUGUAACCAAAAUACUCUGAUUUAUUAAUAUAAAUAUACCUCACUGCCGUGGAAGUUUACUCACGGGGUUUUACCACGAAA